CCAAUAGCGUAUAUUAAAGUUGUUGCAGUUAAAAAGCUCGUAGUUGAAUUUCGGGGUUAGUAGGUUGGUCAUGCCUCUGGUAUGUACUGGUCUCACUGAUUCCUCCUUCCUUAUGAACCGUAAUGCCAUUAAUUUGGUGUUGCGGGGAAUUUGGACUGUUACUUUGAAAAAAUUAGAGUGUUUAAAGCAAGCUAACGCUUGAAUACAUUAGCAUGGAAUAAUGAAAUAGGACGUUCGAUCUUAUUUUGUUGGUUUCUAGGAUUGACGUAAUGAUUAAUAGGGAUAGUUGGGGGCAUUAGUAUUCAAUUGUCAGAGGUGAAAUUCUUGGAUUUAUUGAAGACUAACUACUGCGAAAGCAUUUGCCAAGGAUGUUUUCAUUAAUCAAGAACGAAAGUUAGGGGAUCGAAGACGACCAGAUACCGUCGUAGUCUUAACCAUAAACUAUGCCGACUAGGGAUCGGAUGAUGUUAAUUUUUUAAUGACUCAUUCGGCGCCUUACG
Molecule: ribosomal RNA, 500 nt
Filed under: uncultured Glomeromycotina
Lineage: Eukaryota; Fungi; Glomeromycota
Description: partial small subunit ribosomal RNA
Rfam family: Eukaryotic small subunit ribosomal RNA
Source: RNAcentral